AAGCCAGACUCCUACGGGAGGCAGCAGUGGGGGAUAUUGCACAAUGGGGGGAACCCUGAUGCAGCGACGCCGCGUGGGUGAAGAAGUAUUUCGGUAUGUAAAGCCCUAUCGGCAGGGAAGAAAUUGGACGGUACCUGACUAAGAAGCCCCGGCUAACUACGUGCCAGCAGCCGCGGGAAUACGUAGGGGGCAAGCGUUAUCCGGAUUCACUGGGUGUAAAGGGAGCGUAGACGGCCAUGCAAGCCUGGAGUGAAAGCCCGGGGCCCAACCCCGGGACUGCUCUGGGAACUGUGCGGCUGGAGUGCGGGAGGGGCAGGCGGAAUUCCUGGUGUAGCGGUGAAAUGCGUAGAUAUCAGGAGGAACACCGGCGGCGAAGGCGGCCUGCUGGACCGCGACUGACGUUGAGGCUCGAAAGCGUGGGGAGCAAACAGGAUUAGAUACCCCUGUA
RNAcentral lists this ribosomal RNA (448 nucleotides) under uncultured bacterium. RNAcentral's name for it is "bacterial SSU rRNA". It matches the Rfam family "Bacterial small subunit ribosomal RNA", at positions 328 to 792 of the family's 1533-position model. The record is from RNAcentral.